GGCGGGGGUUCGAAAAAAGAUAUAAAAAAAUAAAUAAAGUAAACAGUAGAAUUGCUGAAUGUAUAUCGUUUCCAGUGAUCACACUAGCAAACCUCACCAAUAUGAGAUUGCUCAAGCCUUCGUGGGUCACACAUGACGGUAAACCAAUAUUUUCCAUUGACAUUCACCCAGAUGGUUCAAGAUUUGCAACGGGUGGUCAGGGAGAUGAUUCAGGAAAGGUUGUCAUCUGGAAUUUUGAACCUGUCAGAGAUGAAAAAGCAGAGAAUGAUGAAAAUGUA
Molecule: long non-coding RNA, 278 nt
Organism: Saccostrea cuccullata (small rock oyster)
Lineage: Eukaryota; Metazoa; Mollusca; Bivalvia; Ostreida; Ostreidae
Exons: 3
Source: RefSeq, a predicted model, not a curated record